RNAcentral lists this ribosomal RNA (477 nucleotides) under uncultured bacterium. RNAcentral's name for it is "partial 16S ribosomal RNA". It matches the Rfam family "Bacterial small subunit ribosomal RNA", at positions 28 to 507 of the family's 1533-position model. The record is from RNAcentral.
GAUAAACGCUGGCGGCGUGCAUAACACAUGCAAGUCGAACGAUGAAGCUUAAAAGAUUUCUUCGGAAUGAACUUAAUUGGAUUAGUGGCGGACGGGUGAGUAACGCGUGAGUAACCUGCCUUGUACAAGGGGAUAGCCGUUGGAAACGACGAAUAAUACCCUAUGACAUCAAAUAAUCGCAUGAUAAUUUGAUCAAAGAUUUAUCGGUAUAAGAUGGACUCGCGUCUGAUUAGCUAGUUGGUAGAGUAAAAGCCUACCAAGGCAACGAUCAGUAGCCGGCUUGAGAGAGUGUACGGCCACAUUGGGACUGAGACACGGCCCAGACUCCGACGAGAGGCAGCAGUGGGGAAUUAUGCACAAUGGGGGAAACCCUGAUGCAGCGACGCCGCGUGAUUUAGAAGGCCUUCGGGUUGUAAAAAUCUUUUGUAUGGGAAGAAAAUGACAGUACCAUACGAAUAAGGACCGGCUAAUUACGUG